RNAcentral lists this ribosomal RNA (468 nucleotides) under uncultured bacterium. Its description in RNAcentral is "partial 16S ribosomal RNA". It matches the Rfam family "Bacterial small subunit ribosomal RNA", at positions 28 to 507 of the family's 1533-position model. The record is from RNAcentral.
GACGGACGCUGGCGGCGUGCUUAACACAUGCAAGUCGAACGGAAAGGCCCUGCUUUUGUGGGGUGCUCGAGUGGCGAACGGGUGAGUAACACGUGAGUAACCUGCCCUUGACUUUGGGAUAACUUCAGGAAACUGGGGCUAAUACCGGAUAGGAGCUCCUGCUGCAUGGUGGGGGUUGGAAAGUUUCGGCGGUUGGGGAUGGACUCGCGGCUUAUCAGCUUGUUGGUGGGGUAGUGGCUUACCAAGGCUUUGACGGGUAGCCGGCCUGAGAGGGUGACCGGCCACAUUGGGACUGAGAUACGGCCCAGACUCCUACGGGAGGCAGCAGUGGGGAAUAUUGCACAAUGGGCGGAAGCCUGAUGCAGCAACGCCGCGUGCGGGAUGACGGCCUUCGGGUUGUAAACCGCUUUCGCCUGUGACGAAGCGUGAGUGACGGUAAUGGGUAAAGAAGCACCGGCUAACUAUGUG